Molecule: ribosomal RNA, 1366 nt
Filed under: Vejdovskybathynella vasconica
Lineage: Eukaryota; Metazoa; Arthropoda; Malacostraca; Bathynellacea; Bathynellidae
Description: SSU rRNA
Rfam family: Eukaryotic small subunit ribosomal RNA
Source: RNAcentral
UUACCUGGUUUGAUCCUGCCAGUAGUCAUAUGCUUGUCUCAAAGAUUAAGCCAUGCAUGUCUAAGUACAGGCCGAAUUAAGGCGAAACCGCGAAUGGCUCAUUAAAUCAGUUAUGGUUCAUUGGAUCUUACCUUGUCCUACUUGGAUAACUGUGGUAAUUCUAGAGCUAAUACACGCGAGCAAGCCCCGACCGGCGACGGGAAGGGCGCUUUUAUUAGAUCAAAACCAAUCGGGCUCUUCGGGGCCCGUACCCCAGUGGUGACUCUGAAUAACUUUGUGCUGAGCGCAUGGUCCUGGUACCGGCGCCGAAUCCUUCAAGUGUCUGCCUUAUCAGCUUUCGAUUGUAGGUUAUGCGCCUACAAUGGCUAUAACGGGUAACGGGGAAUCAGGGUUCGAUUCCGGAGAGGGAGCCUGAGAAACGGCUACCACAUCUAAGGAAGGCAGCAGGCACGCAAAUUACCCACUCCCGGCACGGGGAGGUAGUGACGAAAAAUAACGAUGCGGGACUCAUCCGAGGCCUCGCAAUCGGAAUGAGUACACUUUAAAUCCUUUAACGAGGAUCUAUUGGAGGGCAAGUCUGGUGCCAGCAGCCGCGGUAAUUCCAGCUCCAAUAGCGUAUAUUAAAGUUGCUGCGGUUAAAAAGCUCGUAGUUGGAUUCGAGUCACGGAGCGAGGGUUCACCGCCCGGUGCUUACUCUCCGCCAUCCGGACGUUGAUGUCGGCGUGGCACGGGGUGCUCUUCACCGAGUGUCCCGGCGCCGCCGACGAGUUUACUUUGAAAAAAUUAGAGUGCUCAGAGCAGGCCGUUAUUGACGCGCCUGAAUAGUUGUGCAUGGAAUAAUGGAAUAGGACCUCGGUUCUAUUUUCCGUUGGUUUUCGGAACCCGAGGUAAUGACUAAUAGGAACAGUCGGGGGCAUUCGUAUUGCGACGUUAGAGGUGAAAUUCUUGGAUCGUCGCAAGACGAACUACUGCGAAGGCAUUUGCCAAGAAUGUUUUCAUUAAUCAAGAACGAAAGUUAGAGGUUCGAAGGCGAUCAGAUACCGCCCUAGUUCUAACCAUAAACGAUGCCAACUAGCGAUCCGCCGGCGUUAUUCCCAUGACUCGGCGGGCAGCUUCCGGGAAACCAAAGUUUUUGGGUUCCGGGGGAAGUAUGGUUGCAAAGCUGAAACUUAAAGCAAUUGACGGAAGGCCACCACCAGGAGUGGAGCCUGCGGCUUAAUUUGACUCAACACGGGGAACCUCACCAGGCCCGGACACCGAAAGGAUUGACAGAUUGAGAGCUCUUUCUCGAUUCGGUGGGUGGUGGUGGCAUGGCCGUUCNUAAGUNGGGGGAGCGAUUUUUUCUGGUUNAUUUCCAUUAACGAAA